CAGGGACUGGUUCAUCACCUUUGAAUACUCCUGUGACAGGAGGCGCUUGCAAAACCCGCCCCCAGCCCCCAGCAGCAAAUAAAUAGAAGGCUCCCAGCCCAGAAGCCAGGAGAAGUUUCUAGGCGCGUGAGUCCCCGAGCUUUUAUUAAACUCCUGGCUGCGCUCAAGACCUCAGCAGGCUUUGGCUGGGAGCCGGGGCAGCCUGGGAGGAGGGCAGUCGGUGGCUUGCUGAUAGCCUGGUGAGGUGGGACUGAGAGAGGCCCUCUGGGAUUCUGCUGGGCCCGAUUAGGUGGUCACCUUUGUGAGCCAGGACCCCAGUGCAAUUCUGGGCAGCGGAUGUUUGGGCUUGUGGCUAAAGGAAGAUCAGCAUUUUCUGAAGUGGAGAAUUAAACUCUGAAAGCCAUCUCAAGCCACAUCACCUUGCUGUGUGACCUUUGGCUUCAAGCCGGAAGAACUGAUGGUAAAGACCAAGGAUGGAUACGUGGAAGUGUCAGGGAAGCACGAAGAGAAGCAGCAAGAAGGUGGGAUU
This 529-nucleotide long non-coding RNA is filed under the name Rattus norvegicus (Norway rat). RNAcentral's name for it is "long non-coding RNA NONRATT007595". Lineage: Eukaryota; Metazoa; Chordata; Mammalia; Rodentia; Muridae. The record is from RNAcentral.